RNAcentral lists this ribosomal RNA (468 nucleotides) under uncultured bacterium. RNAcentral describes it as "partial 16S ribosomal RNA". It matches the Rfam family "Bacterial small subunit ribosomal RNA", at positions 28 to 507 of the family's 1533-position model. The record is from RNAcentral.
GACGAACGCUGGCGGCGUGCUUAACACAUGCAAGUCGAACGGAAAGGCCCUGCGUUUUUGGGGUGCUCGAGUGGCGAACGGGGGAGUAACACGUGAGUAACCUGCCCUUGACUUUGGGAUAACUUCAGGAAACUGGGGCUAAUACCGGAUAGGAGCUGCUGCUGCAUGGUGGGGGGUGGAAAUUUUCGGCGGUAGGGGAUGGACUCGCGGCUUAUCAGCUUGUUGGUUGGGUAGUGGCUUACCAAGGCUUUGACGGGUAGCCGGCCGGAGAGGGUGACCGGCCACAUUGGGACUGAGAUACGGCCCAGACUCCUACGGGAGGCAGCAGUGGGAAAUCUUGCCCAAUGGGAGGAAGCCUGAUGAAGAGACGCCGCGUGCGGGAUGCCGGCCUUCGGGUUGUAAACCGCUUUCGCCUGUGACGACGCGUGAGUGACGGUAAUGAGUAAAGAAGCACCGGCUAACUACGUG